AACAUCGCGCACCUGCGGGAACCUGCGGAAGGAUCAUUACAGAGUUGCAAGACUCCCUAAACCAUUGUGAACCUACCUUCUACCGUUGCUUCGGCGGGCGGGCCCAGCGCCCCCCCGGCCCCCCGCGGGCGCCCGCCGGAGGAUACCCAAACUCUUGACAUUAGUGGCCUCUCUGAGUAUUCUUUACUGAAUAAGUCAAAACUUUCAGCAACGGAUCU
Molecule: unclassified non-coding RNA, 218 nt
Filed under: soil metagenome
Description: partial contains 5.8S ribosomal RNA, internal transcribed spacer 2, and large subunit ribosomal RNA
Source: RNAcentral